This 433-nucleotide ribosomal RNA is filed under the name uncultured bacterium. RNAcentral describes it as "partial 16S ribosomal RNA". It matches the Rfam family "Bacterial small subunit ribosomal RNA", at positions 29 to 507 of the family's 1533-position model. The record is from RNAcentral.
AACGAACGCUGGCGGCAUGCCUAACACAUGCAAGUCGAACGAGACCUUCGGGUCUAGUGGCGCACGGGUGCGUAACGCGUGGGAACCUGCCCUUAGGUUCGGAAUAACUCCCCGAAAGGGGUGCUAAUACCGGAUAAUGUCUUCGGACCAAAGAUUUAUCGCCUUUGGAUGGGCCCGCGUUGGAUUAGCUAGUUGUUAGGGUAAAAGCCUACCAAGGCGACGAUCCAUAGCUGGUCUGAGAGGAUGAUCAGCCACACUGGGACUGAGACACGGCCCAGACUCCUACGGGAGGCAGCAGUGGGGAAUAUUGGACAAUGGGCGAAAGCAUGAUCCAGCAAUGCCGCGUGAGUGAUGAAGGCCUUAGGGUUGUAAAGCUCUUUUACCCGGGAUGAUAAUGACAGUACCGGGAGAAUAAGCUCCGGCUAACUCCGUG